Long non-coding RNA from Anopheles nili, 414 nucleotides. RefSeq lists it as uncharacterized. The record is from RefSeq and is a predicted model, not a curated record. Lineage: Eukaryota; Metazoa; Arthropoda; Insecta; Diptera; Culicidae. The transcript has 2 exons.
GCUCCUCGCGUCGAGUGUUUCUGCUGAAAUCCGUGAGCAGCAGCAAGUGGUGGAAAAAAACAAACGGAACUUAAUUGCUCUGCGCUAAGUGAGUGGAUCAGUUGUCACGAUUCAAGUGUGAACUAACAAAUUAACAAACGUUAUCGCGAACUGUGCAACGGAAGCGUAGAGUGUGUUAUAGUGGCGUUUUAAGCGAAGCCAAUAGACCGACGACGAUUUCGGGUGAUCGUUCUGCAUCGAUCGCAGAUUGAGAAGAAAAAAAGUAACAGAAAAAAAACAAUAAACAGCAACACGACAACGAUAAGAAACAAUCAGCAAGAGAGAACGAAGCCAGAAACGAUCAAGAUCGCAACAAAAAACAAAAGCAAAAAAAAAACGCACAUCAAGGCACCCCUCCUCACCCUCCCCCCUCCC